Molecule: ribosomal RNA, 465 nt
Filed under: uncultured bacterium
Lineage: Bacteria
Description: bacterial SSU rRNA
Rfam family: Bacterial small subunit ribosomal RNA
Source: RNAcentral
CCUACGGGUGGCAGCAGUGGGGAAUAUUGCACAAUGGGCGCAAGCCUGAUGCAGCCAUGCCGCGUGUAUGAAGAAGGCCUUCGGGUUGUAAAGUACUUUCAGCGGGGAGGAAGGCGGUGAGGUUAAUAACCUCACCGAUUGACGUUACCCGCAGGAGAAGCACCGGCUAACUCCGUGCCAGCAGCCGCGGUAAUAGGGAGGGUGCAAGCGUUAAUCGGAAUUGCUCGGCGUAAAGCGCACGCAGGCGGUCUGUCAAGUCGGAUGUGAAAUCCCCGGGCUCAACCUGGGAACUGCAUUCGAAACUGGCAGGCUUGAGUCUUGUAGAGGGGGGUAGAAUUCCAGGUGUAGCGGUGAAAUGCGUAGAGAUCUGGAGGAAUACCGGUGGCGAAGGCGGCUCCCUGGACAAAGACUGACGCUCAGGUGCGAAAGCGUGGGGAGCAAACAGGAUUAGAUACCCUAGUAGUC